GUUUGGUGUCCCCGGGAGUUCCCUUCAAACACUUUACGAAGCAUCUUUCUAAGACUAUUUGUGAAGUGUUUGGGGGAACUCUCGGUGUCACCAAGC
Molecule: microRNA precursor, 96 nt
Filed under: Brachypodium distachyon (stiff brome)
Lineage: Eukaryota; Viridiplantae; Streptophyta; Magnoliopsida; Poales; Poaceae
Description: miR395f stem-loop (bdi-MIR395f)
Gene: bdi-MIR395f
Rfam family: mir-395 microRNA precursor family (bases 6-91)
About the family: mir-395 was identified in both Arabidopsis thaliana and Oryza sativa computationally and was later experimentally verified. mir-395 is thought to target mRNAs coding for ATP sulphurylases. The mature sequence is excised from the 3' arm of the hairpin.
Source: miRBase by way of RNAcentral